This 253-nucleotide ribosomal RNA is filed under the name uncultured bacterium. RNAcentral's name for it is "partial 16S ribosomal RNA". It matches the Rfam family "Bacterial small subunit ribosomal RNA", at positions 524 to 776 of the family's 1533-position model. The record is from RNAcentral.
UACGUAGGGGGCUAGCGUUGUCCGGAAUCAUUGGGCGUAAAGCGCGUGUAGGCGGCCCGAUAAGUCCGCUGUGAAAGUCCAGGGCUCAACCCUGGGAUGCCGGUGGAUACUGUCGGGCUCGAGUCCGGAAGAGGCGAGUGGAAUUCCUGGUGUAGCGGUGAAAUGCGCAGAUAUCAGGAGGAACACCAAUAGCGAAGGCAGCUCGCUGGGACGUUACUGACACUGAGGCGCGAAAGCGUGGGGAGCGAACAGG